GACGAACGCUGGCGGCGUGCUUAACACAUGCAAGUCGAACGGAAAGGCCCUGCUUUUGUGGGGUGCUCGAGUGGCGAACGGGUGAGUAACACGUGAGUAACCUGCCCUUGACUGUGGGAUAACUUCAGGAAACUGGGGCUAAUACCGCAUAGGAGCUCCUGCUGCAUGGUGGGGGUUGGAAAGUUUCGGCGGUUGGGGAUGGACUCGCAGCUUAUCAGCUUGUUGGUGGGGUAGUGGCUUACCAAGGCUUUGACGGGUAGCCGGCCUGAGAGGGUGACCGGCCACAUUAGGACUGAGAUACGGCCCAGACUCCUACGGGAGGCAGCAGUGGAGAAUAUUGCACAAUGGGCGGAAGCCUGAUGCAGCAACGCCGCGUGCGGGAUGACGGCCUUCGGGUUGUAAACCGCUUUCGCCUGUGACGAAGCGUGAGUGACGGUAAUGGGUAAAGAAGCACCGGCUAACUACGUG
RNAcentral lists this ribosomal RNA (468 nucleotides) under uncultured bacterium. Its description in RNAcentral is "partial 16S ribosomal RNA". It matches the Rfam family "Bacterial small subunit ribosomal RNA", at positions 28 to 507 of the family's 1533-position model. The record is from RNAcentral.